AUUGAACGCUGGCGGCAUGCUUUACACAUGCAAGUCGAACGGCAGCGCAGGCUUCGGCCUGGCGGCGAGUGGCGAACGGGUGAGUAAUGCAUCGGAACGUGCCCAGUAGUGGGGGAUAGCCCGGCGAAAGCCGGAUUAAUACCGCAUACGACCUGAGGGUGAAAGCGGGGGGCCGAAAGGCCUCGCGCUAUUGGAGCGGCCGAUGUCGGAUUAGCUAGUUGGUGGGGUAAAGGCUUACCAAGGCGACGAUCCGUAGCUGGUCUGAGAGGACGACCAGCCACACUGGGACUGAGACACGGCCCAGACUCCUACGGGAGGCAGCAGUGGGGAAUUUUGGACAAUGGGGGCAACCCUGAUCCAGCCAUGCCGCGUGCGGGAAGAAGGCCUUCGGGUUGUAAACCGCUUUUGUUCGGGAAGAAAUCCUCUGGGCUAAUACCCCGGGGGGAUGACGGUACCGGAAGAAUAAGCACCGGCUAACUACGUG
This 484-nucleotide ribosomal RNA is filed under the name uncultured bacterium. RNAcentral describes it as "partial 16S ribosomal RNA". It matches the Rfam family "Bacterial small subunit ribosomal RNA", at positions 28 to 507 of the family's 1533-position model. The record is from RNAcentral.